AACGGCCACGGGACAUGAGGCUUGGAAGGUAGAUGCUCCUCUCACCGCGAAGCAGUCGAAAUUCUUGGUCCGAUGCAUUCAAGGUUUAAAACGGGUUCAUGAUUCUCGAUUUUUCCGUGAACCGGUGGACCCUGUGAAGUUGAACAUCCCAAAUUAUCCACUUAUCGUCAAACAGCCUAUGGAUUUGCGAACUAUUGAAGAGAAAUUGAAAGCAGGAUCAUAUACCUCCCUUUUUGCAGUCACAUCCGAUUUCGACUUGAUGGUCGACAACUCCGUCACCUUCAAUGGACCGGAGCAUGUAGUUAGUAUGGAAGGCGCGAAUCUCAAGCAAAGCUUUGAGCGCCAUUUGGCCAAACUUCCUGGUCCAGAUGAGGUGGAAACAAGCCCCGCUCAAAAGAAGGCCCAGAAAGUGGCGGCUGUGCCCACCAAAACCCAACCUGCUCGACGUGACUCAAGAGCCUCUGGG
RNAcentral lists this small RNA (466 nucleotides) under Histoplasma capsulatum. RNAcentral's name for it is "hypothetical RNA". Lineage: Eukaryota; Fungi; Ascomycota; Eurotiomycetes; Onygenales; Ajellomycetaceae. RNAcentral also lists the same sequence under 1 other name. The record is from RNAcentral.